UCCCUUGUGGCUCAGCUGGUAAAGAAUCUGCCUGCAAUGCAGGAGACCUGGGUUUGAUUCCUGGGUUGGGAA
Bos taurus (domestic cattle) is the source of this 72-nucleotide non-coding RNA. Lineage: Eukaryota; Metazoa; Chordata; Mammalia; Artiodactyla; Bovidae. The record is from Rfam.